Long non-coding RNA from Papaver somniferum (opium poppy), 675 nucleotides. RefSeq lists it as uncharacterized. The transcript has 3 exons. Lineage: Eukaryota; Viridiplantae; Streptophyta; Magnoliopsida; Ranunculales; Papaveraceae. The record is from RefSeq and is a predicted model, not a curated record.
UAGAGAAAGAGGACAUGAAGCUCUGUCCGAACGACGAAAUGUAUAGUUUGGGAAACCAUAUCCAGUAAAAUCAAGACUCACAUCAAAAUUAAAGAAACCCACAUCAACAAUAGGAUCAAAUUGCUGGAAAUCAAGUAAAAUAAACAAAUCGCGGACCUAAUUUACAAAAUCGCGUCAAUUGGUUUCUAAAUUUAUUUUUGUCUUCAACAAAAAUUGUUCAUCUCUUCUUCUGUAUGCACUUGGAAAGGUGAAUUACAAGGAUGAAUUAAUUGAAGGAUUGAAGAGAAAUUGGUGGAAUAAGACAGGUAAAGAAGAUGCGAUAAAUUGAGGUGCAAACACCAACAGUUGACACCUCUUCAUCACCAGAAACGCGCUUGGAAGGUGCUCGACAUAAUUCUCAAACCAGUUCCGGGAAAAAACAGACGGUUAGCAUCAAUAUACGGGAGACAACUAAUGUCGAGCGCUUGGAAGGUGCUCGACAUAUUUCUGGUCAUCGUCGGUAUUCCUAUUUGAAGUUGGGAGGAAAUGAGGUUUCAAGAAUUUGGAGUGCUGGCAUCACAUGAUAGUUGAUUUUGAGUAAUAAAGAAGGAUGCUAGUGCGGAUUUUUGUUUAAUUUGAGAGUUGAUUGUCUUAAAGAUUUUGGAUUAUUAAUUUAUUAAUGAUAUUUGAUUGUUG